Molecule: ribosomal RNA, 484 nt
Filed under: uncultured bacterium
Lineage: Bacteria
Description: partial 16S ribosomal RNA
Rfam family: Bacterial small subunit ribosomal RNA
Source: RNAcentral
AUUGAACGCUGGCGGCAGGCCUAACACAUGCCAGUCGAGCGGAUGGAGGGAGCUUGCUCCUGGAUUCAGCGGCGGACGGGUGAGUAAUGCCUAGGAAUCUGCCUGGUAGUGGGGGAUAACGUCCGGAAACGGGCGCUAAUACCGCAUACGUCCUGAGGGAGAAAGUGGGGGAUCUUCGGACCUCACGCUAUCAGAUGAGCCUAGGUCGGAUUAGCUAGUUGGUGGGGUAAAGGCCUACCAAGGCGACGAUCCGUAACUGGUCUGAGAGGAUGAUCAGUCACACUGGAACUGAGACACGGUCCAGACUCCUACGGGAGGCAGCAGUGGGGAAUAUUGGACAAUGGGCGAAAGCCUGAUCCAGCCAUGCCGCGUGUGUGAAGAAGGUCUUCGGAUUGUAAAGCACUUUAAGUUGGGAGGAAGGGCAGUAAGUUAAUACCUUGCUGUUUUGACGUUACCAACAGAAUAAGCACCGGCUAACUUCGUG